UUCCACCAUGAUUGUGAGGCCUCCCCAGCCAUAUGGAACUGUGCCUCACUCUAGUCCUGACCCUGUUACCACCAAAAUAUCCCCACUGAGGAACUUCUAGUGAAUAUAUUUCAAGAAGAAGGGAACUAACCCCAGGAAGAAGACUGAAAGCUUCAUGAGGAUAAACUGAGACUCUUCGCUAUUGAAAUUCUAUUGCCAGGCGCAUCCCCCAGCCCACAGUGAAUGGAAUUGGAUUAUUCUGAAGCACAAUCAGUAUUCCAAGUACAUGGUUUCUGUAAUGGGAUAAUUGGCUGCCCCUGGUCCUAGACAACACCUGAAGGCACUAAUCCCAUUCAUGAAGAUUCCACCCUCAGGAUCUAAGCAUCUCCCGAAGGCCCUGCCUCCUAAUAGCAUCCCCUUGGAGGUGAGGAUUUCAACUUGGGAAUUUUGGGGUGACAUGAACAUUCAGGCUGUAGCAGAACACUUACUUGUGAGUGAGUGAGAGGGACAAGAUGCGGUUAAAGAGGCUGGCAGAGAGCGAACCACAAGAGGACUUGAGACCUUGGUAAGGAUAUAAUCUUUGUCCUAAGUACAAUGGGAAACCAUUGGAAGGUUCUGAGCUCCAUUUGGAGCAAGAUUAGAUGGGGCCAGAGUAGAGCUCAUACUUCUUAUUCUGGUUCAGUUGGUCUGGGGUGGCCCUGGCGUCAGUGGGAUUGACAAGUUCCCCACAUGAUUCCAGCUGCUGCCCGGGGAGGACUUUCUGCACUGUACAAAAUCCUCCAGAACCUGAGACUCUGCUGUGACCCCAUGAGAAAGGUUCAUCUGGUGUCUACCUCAAUAGCCCCAGCAGCCAUGGAACAUGCAUUCCUCACUGGGACAGCCUGGCUCUUCUUUAGGCAGCUCUAAUGGUCAGAAAAGUCUUGUCUAUUUCAAGUACAAAUCUCAUUGGUUCUGUCCUCUGCCUUGGGUAAGCAUUCCGGUUCCUUUAACAGCCCACACAUAAGCUGGAUUCAGGGACCUUCAUUUCCUUCCUUCCUUAGCUGUCCUGAGGCACUAAUUUGGGUUGGAGUUAGGACUCGCCUUUAACGUUGAUAGAACCUGUUUUCAUGCGUAACUACCCAGAAUUCAUGGCAGCCUGAUCAGCUAAGCUGGGCAGGCAGGCCUGGGAUGACGUCUCUAUGUCCCUGAUGGCCCCUGGAAGACAUAGGUCCAGAGACAUUGGGGCCAUGACCAAGAUCACAGAAUUGGCAAGCAGAGUCUCAAACCCAUGGGGUUCCUCUCACUGACCACACCGCCUCAUGCUGCCCUGGAAGGGCUAGAAGUUCUGAAAACUCUGAAUAUGGCCCCUACCCCAGAGAAACUAGAGGCUAAGUGGUGAACUAGCAUGAAUGCUGCCUGUUGUGUGCCAGAACCUUCCAGAAUAGCUCACUUAAUCUAAGGGUUCAGCUACUGUUGUCAACAGUUUGCUAAUGGAGGUUAAGGUGAAAAAGAUGGCAAGCAAUGGACUCCAUUCUAGGUCAUUCUGCUUCCAAAGCCCAUGGCUUUCUACUCACCCAUGCUGAAGUUGCUUCUAAGCAUGAGCCCAUGUUAAAAACAGAACAAAACUAGCACCUGCUAUGUGACAGUACAGGGUUAGGAGCCCCAUGUGUCCUGGGUAGGUUUGCAGAUGGUUGGAUCAAAGUGCAGCAGCUGGUGGGAGAUGCAGGGAGGCAAAGCGGAGGAAAACUGUCUCUUGGCUGAUGUCCGUUGACCUGCAGCCCAAGAAGCAGUUUUUAGAAAUCUUCCCCCACCAAGAGGAAAGAGAGGAGGUGCAGCUGAGUGACAUCUAGGGUUGGGGAGAGACAAUGGAGCCAAUUACCUAGGUAAAGUCACCAAGCAAUAACUAGCUAGAGGCUUGUCCAGAAAUUCUCAUGGCUUGCUUUGAUGAUCAUUUGUCUGAGUUGCGUUUCAUUUCGAUUUUUCCUUCAAUUUAGAUCCCAUCUGCUGCUCUGUGUGCCUGAGCCCACCCCUAGAGACACAGGCAUGCAAUUU
This 2010-nucleotide long non-coding RNA is filed under the name Homo sapiens (human). Its description in RNAcentral is "HSALNT0360467". The record is from RNAcentral. Lineage: Eukaryota; Metazoa; Chordata; Mammalia; Primates; Hominidae.